CAGUGUUGAAGAUGUCCCGGGAAUCUCGGGAAUUCUUUUGCCCCCACUGCUUCCUCUGGUCUGGGCAUCACCUGGUCUUAACAGGACUACAGGAGCCUGCUUACUGGUCUCCACUCUGAUCAAAGUUCUGGAGCCCAGACUAUUUCUCCCUGUUUGGUGACUCUCCAUGGGAGGCCUCAUUCUCUUGGGCUGGUGUCGCCUGGAAGCUGGAGCCAGGGCCACAGGUUUGGCUUGGCUACUGUAUUAGUCUCCUGUGGCUGCUGGUACAAGGCACCACAAAACUGGGUGGCUUAAGCAAGAAAAAUGUCUCCUCUCACAUUUCUGGAGGCUGGAAGUCAGAGACGAGUUUUCUGGACUGAAGUGAAGAUGCUGCAGAGUGUGUCCCUCAUAGGCUCCAGAGAAUGGUUCUUUGCCUCCUCCAGCUUUGGGGAUCUGUAGGCAUUCCUUGUCUGCCUCAGUGGCCACACCUCCCUCCCUCCUCCUUGUAAGUACACACGUGAUUGCCCUCCGUGUCCACCAGAUGAUCCAGGACAAUCUCU
Molecule: long non-coding RNA, 539 nt
Filed under: Marmota monax (woodchuck)
Lineage: Eukaryota; Metazoa; Chordata; Mammalia; Rodentia; Sciuridae
Source: RNAcentral